RNAcentral lists this ribosomal RNA (253 nucleotides) under uncultured bacterium. RNAcentral describes it as "partial 16S ribosomal RNA". It matches the Rfam family "Bacterial small subunit ribosomal RNA", at positions 524 to 776 of the family's 1533-position model. The record is from RNAcentral.
UACGUAGGGUGCGAGCGUUAAUCGGAAUUACUGGGCGUAAAGCGUGCGCAGGCGGUUUUGUAAGCCAGAUGUGAAAGCCCCGGGCUUAACCUGGGAAUGGCAUUUGGGACUGCAAGGCUGGAGUGUGGCAGAGGAGACUGGAAUUCCUGGUGUAGCAGUGAAAUGCGUAGAUAUCGGGAGGAACACCAGUGGCGAAGGCGGCACUCUGGGCCGGAACUGACGCUGAGGAGCGAAAGCGUGGGGAGCGAACAGG